AACGAACGCUGGCGGCAGGCUUAACACAUGCAAGUCGAACGCCCCGCAAGGGGAGUGGCAGACGGGUGAGUAACACGUGGGGAUCUGCCCAAUGGUACGGAAUAAUUCCGGGGAACUGGGACUAAUACCGUAUGUGCCCGCAAGGGGAAAGAUUUAUCGCCAUUGGAUGAACCCGCGUCGGAUUAGCUAGUUGGUGAGGUAAAGGCUCACCAAGGCGACGAUCCGUAGCUGGUCUGAGAGGAUGAUCAGCCACACUGGGACUGAGACACGGCCCAGACUCCUACGGGAGGCAGCAGUGGGGAAUAUUGGACAAUGGGCGCAAGCCUGAUCCAGCCAUGCCGCGUGAGUGAUGAAGGCCUUAGGGUUGUAAAGCUCUUUCGCCGACGAAGAUAAUGACGGUAGUCGGAGAAGAAGCCCCGGCUAACUUCGUGCCAGCCGCCGCCGUAA
Molecule: ribosomal RNA, 447 nt
Filed under: uncultured bacterium
Lineage: Bacteria
Description: partial 16S ribosomal RNA
Rfam family: Bacterial small subunit ribosomal RNA
Source: RNAcentral